Molecule: ribosomal RNA, 698 nt
Filed under: Megaphragma striatum
Lineage: Eukaryota; Metazoa; Arthropoda; Insecta; Hymenoptera; Trichogrammatidae
Description: partial large subunit ribosomal RNA
Rfam family: Eukaryotic large subunit ribosomal RNA (bases 345-698)
Source: RNAcentral
CUGUUGGCUUGCGUGCGGCCGCGAUGUUCUCUCUCGCAGAGAGCACGCGGUCGCUGCGUCAUGUCCGGCGCGGUCGGCGUGCACUUCUCCCCUAGUAGGACGUCGCGACCCGUUGGGUGUCGUCCGACGGCCCGCGAGGUAGCCUGGUUCGCCGUGCGUUAAUAGCGUGUGCGCGUACCAGACCCGCGGUGCCUGGCUCGACUGCCCGGCGGUAGAGAUCUAAUCGAUACGGUAUGGGGUCGCACGCUUAGCUGCGAUGCGUUUUGGCCCGCCGACAGAUCGACCUCGCUUGGCGUACGGGACCUAGUGCCGUUGUCGAGCGCUUGGCCGGUCGCAUUCGGCGGUGUCCUCGAACGGGCCCUGCUUUAAAACAUACCAGUCGGCGACGCUACUGCUUUGGGUACUUUCAGGACCCGUCUUGAAACACGGACCAAGGAGUCUAACAUGUGCGCGAGUCAUUGGGACUUGAAACAAAGCCUAAAGGCGCAAUGAAAGUGAAGGUCCGCUUUAUGCGCGACCGAGGGAGGAUGGCUCCCGCCACGACGCGGAGCCCGCACUCCCGGGGCGUCUCGUGCUCAUCGCGAGCUGAGGCGCACCCAGAGCGUACACGUUGGGACCCGAAAGAUGGUGAACUAUGCCUGGUCAGGACGAAGUCAGGGGAAACCCUGAUGGAGGUCCGUAGCGAUUCUGACGUGCAA